GCCUGGGUGGCUCAGUGGUUGAGCAUCUGCCUUCAGCUCAGGUCGUGAUCCCAGGCU
Molecule: non-coding RNA, 57 nt
Organism: Canis lupus familiaris (dog)
Lineage: Eukaryota; Metazoa; Chordata; Mammalia; Carnivora; Canidae
Source: Rfam